UCAGCCACUUUGAAAACGAGGAGAAUUUUUCGCGACGACUCGAUCAAUUUCUACUUCUUUAUUCAACAUUCUUAUUAAUUUAUUAAUACAUUCAGUUAUAUAUAUGUAGAUUAAAUUCUUUGCUAAUAAUAAAGCUCAACACCAGGCACAAUGAAAUGAUGACACGAAUAUUUGGGAAUAUAAAAAUUUGAAAGUU
This is a long non-coding RNA of Megachile rotundata (alfalfa leafcutting bee), 196 nucleotides long. NCBI's taxonomy places the organism in Eukaryota, Metazoa, Arthropoda, Insecta, Hymenoptera, Megachilidae. The record is from RefSeq and is a predicted model, not a curated record.